AGCUCUGAUAGUAUAUAUUAAAGUUGUUGCAGUUAAAAAGCUCGUAGUUGAAACUUGGGUGUGUAGGGGCGGUCUCUUUUAGAGUACUACCCUGAAACAUCUUUCUUUGGUGUAAACUCUUUAUUCACUUAAGGAGUGUAAACCAAACAUUUACUUUGAAAAAAUUAGAGUGUUCAAAGCAGGCCUUUGCUCGAAUAUAUUAGCAUGGAAUAAUAGAAUAGGACGUAUGGUUCUAUUUUGUUGGUUUCUAGGACCGUCGUAAUGAUUAAUAGGGACGGUCGGGGGCAUCAGUAUUCAGUUGUCAGAGGUGAAAUUCUUGGAUUUACUGAAGACUAACUACUGCGAAAGCAUUUGCCAAGGACGUUUUCA
Molecule: ribosomal RNA, 369 nt
Filed under: uncultured eukaryote
Lineage: Eukaryota
Description: SSU rRNA
Rfam family: Eukaryotic small subunit ribosomal RNA
Source: RNAcentral